Molecule: long non-coding RNA, 443 nt
Organism: Hyaena hyaena (striped hyena)
Lineage: Eukaryota; Metazoa; Chordata; Mammalia; Carnivora; Hyaenidae
Exons: 4
Source: RefSeq, a predicted model, not a curated record
AUGCUAAGUAAAAUAAGCCAGUCACAAAAAGGAAGCUCAAAAUUAUUCUUGCAUAAUCCACUGCCUUCAGAGGACUUCUGUCAUUUAUCAAGAUGAGUUUAUCAAAGGAUCCAAAGAAAAGUAAAUUAUGCCUUCCCAUCCUUUGAGGCCCAGUUUAAUUUCAACUACUCCAAGAAGCCCCUGCUGUUGGAAUAGCCUUUGUAUUCCAUUGCAUGGAAGUUCUCCAAGAGCUUUGCUCCUUUAUUAAACUCUUCAUAGUCCAAUCCAAGCAUUUGUCUAUGCAACCUAUCAUGCCCUGAGAGGAUCCACAUUGCUGUGUCUGCUCAACACUGUUAAAUAUGACAAGCUGAAACCUCUGCACUUAAAGAUACAGAACUGUAUAUAACAAGCUCCCUGGCUCAUGGAAGAUGGAAUCUACUGCAAAGAAACUGAACAAAACUAUA